This 1421-nucleotide ribosomal RNA is filed under the name uncultured bacterium. RNAcentral's name for it is "bacterial SSU rRNA". It matches the Rfam family "Bacterial small subunit ribosomal RNA". The record is from RNAcentral.
AAUCAACGCUGGCGGCGUGCCUAACACAUGCAAGUCGAACGAGAAAGUGGAGCAAUCCAUGAGUAAAGUGGCGACCGGGUGAGUAACACGUGACUAACCUACCUCCGAGUGGGGAAUAACUCCGGGAAACCGGGGCUAAUACCGCAUAACAUCGCAAGAUCAAAGCAGCAAUGCGCUUGGAGAGGGGGUCGCGGCUGAUUAGCUAGUUGGCGGGGUAACGGCCCACCAAGGCGAAGAUCGGUAUCCGGCCUGAGAGGGCGCACGGACACACUGGAACUGAAACACGGUCCAGACUCCUACGGGAGGCAGCAGUGGGGAAUUUUGCGCAAUGGGGGAAACCCUGACGCAGCAACGCCGCGUGGAGGAUGAAGCCCUUUGGGGCGUAAACUCCUUUCGACUCGGACGAUAAUGACGGUACGAGUGGAAGAAGCACCGGCUAACUCUGUGCCAGCAGCCGCGGUAAUACAGAGGGUGCGAGCGUUGUUCGGAAUUAUUGGGCGUAAAGGGCGCGUAGGCGGUGCGGUAAGUCACCUGUGAAAUCUCCCGGCUCAACUGGGAGGGUGCGCGGAAAACUGGCGGGCUAGAGUGCGGGAUGGGAGAGUAGAAUUCCUGGUGUAGCGGUGAAAUGCGUAGAUAUCAGGAGGAAUACCGGUGGUGUAGACGGCUCUCUGGACCGUAACUGACGCUGAGACACGAAAGCGUGGGUAGCAAACAGGAUUAGAUACCCUGGUAGUCCACGCCCUAAACGAUGCAUAUUUGGUGUAGGUCAUUCAGUUGAUCUGUGCCGGAGCUAACGCGUUAAAUAUGCCGCCUGGGGAGUACAGUCGCAAGGCUGAAACUCAAAGGAAUUGACGGGGGCCCGCACAAGCGGUGGAGCAUGUGGUUCAAUUCGACGCAACGCGAAGAACCUUACCUGGGCUCGAACGGCUGGUUAACGAUCGUGGAAACACGGUUACUCCGCAAGGGGAUCCAGUCGAGGUGCUGCAUGGCUGUCGUCAGCUCGUGUCGUGAGAUGUUGGGUUAAGUCCCGCAACGAGCGCAACCCUUGUCCUGUGUUGCCAUGCCGAAAGGCGGAACUCGCAGGAGACCGCCAGCGAUAAGCUGGAGGAAGGUGGGGAUGACGUCAAGUCCUCAUGGCCUUUAUGUCCAGGGCUACACACGUGCUACAAUGGUCGGUACAAACCGUCGCAAACCCGCGAGGGGGAGCUAAUCGGAAAAAGCCGGCCUCAGUUCGGAUUGGAGUCUGCAACUCGACUCCAUGAAGCUGGAAUCGCUAGUAAUCGCAGAUCAGCACGCUGCGGUGAAUACGUUCCCGGGCCUUGUACACACCGCCCGUCACAUCACGAAAGUGGGUUGUACUAGAAGUCGCCACGCUAACCGCAAGGAGGCAGGCGCCCAAGGUAUGACUCAUGAUUGGGGUG